RNAcentral lists this long non-coding RNA (6206 nucleotides) under Homo sapiens (human). RNAcentral describes it as "HSALNT0104932". The record is from RNAcentral. Lineage: Eukaryota; Metazoa; Chordata; Mammalia; Primates; Hominidae.
CCACACGUGUAUUCCAGCACUUUGGGAAGCCGAGGCAGGCAGAUCACAUGAGGUCAGGAGUUCGAGACCAGCCUGGCCAACAUGGUGAAACUCCUUCUCUACUAAAAAUACAAAAAAAAAAUUAGCCGGGUGUGGUGGUGUGCGACUGUAAUCCCUGCUAAUGGGGAGGCGGAGGUUGCAGUGAGAGGAGAUCGCACCACUGCACUGCAGCCUGGGCGACAAAGCAAGACUCCAUCUCAAAACAAACAAACAAACAAACAAACAAACAAAAAACAGACGAAAUAGGGUUUGAGUAUGUAGUCUGCUCUCAACAUGAGAUAGUAAAGUCUUUGCUUCCCUUAUAUUCUGUUAAUUAACUCAUUUGAUGCACAUCGAUGUAUAAAGCCUUUAACUUCUAUUUAUUCUUUUCCUUGAAAAGCAUGCGGAAUGCCUUCUCAGGACUCUCCCAUUUUUUAUUUGUGAACACCCACUGGCAUUCCCGGAUACGAAGCUUGCAAGAAGGUGUGAACCGCCCUAUACUCGUGAGCCCCUGGGGCUCUGUACUCUUUCCAGCCCACAUUUGACCUCAGUCAAUUUUUAAAUGAUUCCAGCUAAAUUCUUCUUACCAGUGCCCAGCUGUACCUGCCUUAGGUAAUCCUCUUACUCUGGGCUAUGAACUUGCUACUGCCAAGAUGGAUGCCAUGAAAAAAAGAGAUCUCAUCAAAAUGGUCACAGAGAGAUGGAGGGCCUCUGUGUAGAUGGCAGGGUGGUGGUGGCCGUGUAACUAGCUGCCCGGUGAGGAGCAGCCCUUGGGGAGAGCCCAGGUAGGACCAGGAGAAGCAGAAAUAGAGAAAAGUGAAAGAUCGAGGUGGAAAGAACAUGAGGGACAAGAGCUCUGCAUGGCCACAUCACCAGCAGUCUUGUUAUUACAAUGAGGAUGAAGGGACUGAAAAGAGGGGAAGAGAUGGAAUUCAUCAAACAACAGUGCUCAUUCAUACAAGGUAAGUAUACAUGUGGCCUUUUCUCUCUCUAUCUGAAGAUGUGGCUUACUGUAACAGGAACUAUCAUGGGCAUUGGACGGCUGUCUCAUGGUGAUCCCAUCCUCCUCUACAUCCUAAACUUUUUUUUGAAUGCAUUUCUGUAUUUUGACUUCCUCUCUCCCCAAAGUUCUUGUUAACUUCUGAGUAUGACUUAGCUUCCUUAUUCUUUGAAAUAUUUGAAACCCCUAACUUCCUCUCCUCUGUGGUGUAACUCACAUGGCUUCUUGAUACCAGGAGGCACUGUCUGCAUACAACCUCAUAUUAUGAGGAUGAAAUGCCCAUGAAUCCUACCAAUCUGAGGAACAACGCAUUUGUCUUCUCUGACAAAAUACGGGUGCCACAUAUUCUGUAGGAAAAGGUGGUGUUGAGGUCAGAACUUCUCUGUUUCUCUGUCUCUCUCUCUCUGGUUCUGGAAAUGUUGAGAAUAUGAGUGAAGGGAAAAAGAUGGGCACCACGUGGAGGCAAUUUCAUGGUGGCAUGAAACAAUUUUGGGGGCAUGAAUGCCAUGGGCAGAACAUCAGGGCCCCAAAAGGGAAAUACACAGUACUUUCUUUGGACUUCAGUGCUCUCUUUUAUAGUAAUGGAAACCACAAGCGCAGAGGAAGGGGAGCUGAUUCUAUAAAAAGAAGUUUAUUUCCUACUUUAAAAGAUGAUUUUUUGACUAUCUUCCCACAAUAGAGCCAGAGGAUCACAGGGGAAAGCUACGAUCCUCAAUUAUAGAAAAUGAUGUUGGGUGCAUCUAGCAUCACAGAAGCUUUAGAGGACACAGUCAUCUCAGGUACCUACAGAUAAGGAAGAAGUACCAAUGAGAGUACCUACUCGUAUUCUUAUUCAUGGAAGCGAAUCCCUUCAGGAACCAAAUCAUUUAGCUGCUGGUAGAUGUUUCUUUUGGCUCCUCUCUCUCCUGAGCUCUCAAACACAGACUUUUUUUUCUGUGUGCCUCUGCUUUUGGCAACUCUGUUCCAAGAAUAAGAAUAUUUGUUUGUAGAUGAGCUUGCUAGGUCGGGGAUCUCUUGUAUAGGGAGAUGGUGAAUCACUGAGCAGGACACAGAGGCAUGAGUUGAAACAGUGAGAUGUACCUUAGUUUAAAGAGAGGUCACAAGAGCUCAUGGACCAUUAUUAGAUAAACUCUAAAUUAGAAAAAAGAACCAUAUUUCUCUUUUGAUAGUCACAUAAAAAUUGAAGCCAUACUCAUUCUAAUAAAAAGUAACAUGCAUAGCUCUUCAUUGCAAAGCUCAUCUAUUAUUCAUAACAGGCAUAUAGGGUCUAUAUCAUUUUUACAGAAGUGGAAAUAGCAUGUAAUUACUAAUUUAGUUUAUUCAUUAGUUUUCCAAAAGUGAAAUAAAGAAUUUUCCCUUUGACUUCCUACCUGGUAAUUUGAAAGAGAUAAAUUUGUGACUAAAAAGAGUACUUCACAUCAUACACAAAUAAUUAAUGCAACUGAUUGACCCAAGCUAGUGUGUGUGAUAUUGUGAUAUAAUAGGAAGUAUAUAUUUGGUUUCUGACCCUGGUUCCUGCCCUUCAGCUCCUAAAACUCUUGGAAUCUCCAGAGUGAUAAGAGUGUCUUUUGCAUGCUAAUGAGGUGACUGGUGGCUGGGGCUGGUCACCAGAAAGACCAAGGCAGGAUUAGAGGGUUGGGAUUUUCAGCCCACUCACAAUCUCUGGGGAGAAGGGAGGGGCUGAAGGUUGAGUUGACUGCCAAUGGCCAAUGGUUUAAUCAACUCACCAUGCUGACAUAACAAAGCCUCCAUUAAAACCCAAAAGGGCAGAGUUUGGAGAGUUUCCAGAUAGCAGAACACGGAAAGAUGCCUGGAGGAUAGGCUCUUGAAGAAGGUGUGGAAGCUCCGCACUCUUUCCCCCAUACUUUGUCCUAUGUGUUUUGUUUUUCUUUAUCAAUCUGUUCGUCUGUAUCCUUUGUCUUAUCCUAUGUAAUAAACCAGUGUAUGUAAGUGUUUCCCUGAGUUCUUUGGGCUGCUCUAGCAAAUUAAUUGAACCUGAGGAAAGGUUUGUGGGAACCUCCAAUCUAUAAUUGGAUGGUCAGAAGUACAGGUGAUAGCAACUGGCAUCUGAAGUGGGAAGGGGGCAGUUUUGCAUGACUGAUCCCUCAAUCUGUGGGAUCUGAUGCUAUUUUUAGGUAAAUAGUAUCAGAAUUGAAUUGAUUUAGAGGAACCCGGUGUCUGCUGGAGAAUUGCUUGGUGUGGGGGAAAAAUCUCCACAUACCUGAUGUCAGAAGUAACUGUGUAAGACAGAAGGAAAAAUGCUUUGGAGUUUUUUGUUUUUUCUCCCCAUCUCUAUUUAUAUAGGUUAAAAAUGUGGCUGGGUGCAUGCCCAUGAUCUGAGCACUUUGGAAGGCCCAGGCAGGAGGAUAACUAGAGGUCAGGAGUUCAAGACCAGCCUAGGCAACACAGUGAGACCCCCCCGCAUCUCUAAAAAACAAACAGAGACAAAUACAUAAAUAAAUCAGUACAAGUACAAGCCUCAUAAUCCAUUAUGAAAGUGUCAGAGUGAUGAAUGCCAUGGGCAUAGUAACAGUUAAUAAAGAAAAUAAUGUGUUGGAGGAAUAUUUAAGAUAACUGAGGCUGCUACAAGCAAAACUACAGAAUAAUUUCAUCAUAUACAUUUUUUUUUGUUUCCAAAUUAGAUACAAGAUUAAGCCUUGGGUCUCCCUGGCAGUGGAGGGCGAUUCUGAUAUUCACAUAUAACUACCCACAGGGCAUGGAUUCUGAGAGAUGCUGAUAAAAGAAGUUGGUGUCUUCUUGGCAUUUGUCCCCAAGGAUCUUCCAAUACCCAGAGAAUCUGCAUUUACACAGAUCAUGCUCCCUUGGGAGCUUCUCUUGACUGCCCCCCACACCCUCAUUCGUGGCUUUUCCUCUUUGAUCUCCCACUUCAGUCCUCACACCUGUCAACACUGUGCUUAUUACCAUGUGGAGUGGUUAGAAGAUCUUCCCAGAGUCAAGACAUUUCCAGGGUCACCCUUCUCUUAGGCAUUUCUUGGCACGACUGUCCUGAAUAAAGGAAAGGAGAUGAAGGUGAUGUUGAGAAGCAUCUAGAGGGCUGGAGUCAGGGGGAACCGGCUGAGGCUGUUGGAUCAAGUUUUAGCCACUGGUAAAAGACCUCCAAGCUGCGAAUGCUAUUGCCAUCUGUGUAAAGUCGCCUCCGAGAUUAGAACAUGCCAAAGACUGAAGAAAGAGGUCUAGGUAGCAUAAAGCCAUCAUGUAAUUGAAGUUUCUUCCGUUUCCAAGGACAGGAAGCGUGCAAAUGGCUCUGCGUUCUCAGUAGGGGUGGGGCUAAGAAGUGAGCCUGCAAAUGGUAGUUUGGGCGAAGACUUGUGUGAUGCAUGCAGGGACUCAAAUUUAGUGUCCUCUGAACACAAACACCCUCUAUGAUCCGGGUUAGGUAUCGCUCCUGUGAACGUUCAAAGAACACCUUUAUAUUCUGAGGGGACACCGUUCAUCAUCAGAUCACUGUUGACGGAAGCCAGGUGACAGCUUUGUAUUUCGUGUUUUCCCCUUUAGUAAUGUAAAAAUAGAAGUUAUUUCUCCUUUCUUCCAAUGUAGGAUUUUUUUUUUUGAGAGGGUCUCUGUCACCCAGGCUGGAGUGCAGUGACACAAACACAGCUCACUACAUCCUUGACCUCUUGGGUUCAGAUGGUCCUCCCGCCUCAGCCUCCUUAGUAGCUGGGACGACAGGCACAUUCCACCGGCCCGGCUAAUUUCUUUUUAAAGUUUUUGUAGAGAUAGGGCUCUCACUAUGUUGCCCAGACUGGUCUUGAACUCCUGAGCUCAAGCGAUUCUCUCACCUUGGCCUCCCAGAGUGUUGGGAUUACAAGCGCGAGCCACCACACCCAGCCCAGUGUAGGAAUGUUUAAUUCCUCCACUUGCUAUCAAAGAAAACUGCUAACUUUCUUAUUUCCUAAUUUCUCUUUUUCUAUUUGCUUCUCCUUAGGUUCUGCUCUUGGGUGCUAUCUCCUUAGUUUUGAGAAUAUGAAGGUUUGUUUAGAAAAAAAAAAGCAGAAAAAAUUCACUGGAAGAUUUCACAUUUGUAUAUAUCUUUAUGAAAUGUGACAGUGAAGUGUUAGGGUAGAGAUAUUUGAUCUGAUUACCAUUAGGAUAAAAUCAAAUCUCCUUACCAUGUCUUACAUGUGUACUUGUCCAAUCUUGUCUCCUAUAAUUGUCCAACCAACCCGUUCUGUUCCAGCCUCACUGGCCUUCUUAUUCUUUCACGAAGCUCACACUGUCCUCCAGAGCCUUGCACUCUCUUUUGCCUGGAAUGCUCUCCCAGAUCUUAACAUGAUAGGAAAACAAAAGACAACUGUUUGUCAUGUCUACUACAGUCUCAGCCCCAUGAGGCAGAGUCCAUGCCCAUUUUCCUUCCAUGCAACAUUCCUGGCACCUAGAGAGUGACUGAUGCAUAAUGGCUGGUAAAAUAUUUGAUUAAAAAAUAUUUUAGUGUAUUUCCUCCCCCAAAAUAUACAUACACAACAGAGGCAGUUAUUUUGUCUAUAUCUUUAGCACAUUUUAGGCAUUUAGUAAAUUUCUGUUGAAUCCAUAUGGAAUUCUUCAGAUUGAUCUGUGAACACUUUAGAUUUGAAAAAGGAGAAAAUCAUAAAACUAAGGGUAAUGGGGAGAGAGCAAAACCAAAGGCAGACAUGGGAAGAUUCUCCUUAUACAAAAUACUUUUUCCAUGUCUAUAAUGAACCCCCAAAUUAUCUGGAUACUUACAACAGUGGUAGCAAGGGAAUGUCUCGUUAAUGCAGGUUCUCUAUUCUCCUCAAUUAAUUUCAGGUCCUUAAUUGUGCAUGACAUAUGAAACAUAAAGGGUGUUUAUUUGCUAAUCACCAGCAUUAAUUAAUUCAAAGACUUACCUGAGAUUCUGUUUGCGCAAUAAAAAUUAAAAAGAUUACUCAGUAAUACAUUGGGAGAGGUGUAACUGGGGCAUUAAAAUACGAAUGUGUGUCUAAUUUUCAAACAUCAUAAGUAUUUUGAAAGCACUUAUACAUAAUCAAUUAAUAUAUGUUGUUAACUAAAUUCAUAUGAAUAAUAUGUGAUAUAAAUUAGUGUUUUGUAUUAAUUUCAAGACAAUUAGAAAGAGAAUGUCACCAUCACUCUUUUGAUUCAAUCAACAGUCCUUAGACUGGUUCCUUGUAAUGAAUUUAAUGGGUUAGUAAAAGCUGUGUUAUUUGAAAUU